UGCCGGGGAUGGGCAGCCUAUGCACAAUUCAGUGUCUCCGUCACUCUAGUCCGCGCACAGUGGCAAGUGGUGUUAGAACCAGCACUCACGCAUCACCGCGCAGGGUUCACCAGGAUGGCAUGGAACGUCCAACUAUCCUGGCACCAGCGAGUAGUUAUCUGGGUGCUGCGUCAGGGAGUCAUUCCCCGUCACGCUGCUAUCGCACCAGACGGAAAUCGACGCUACGCCAAGAGCACUGGCAUAGGACCGGGCUCCGCUUACGAUGUCAUGCUUCAAAAGAUAGCUAUGCUGUCUCAAUGCAUGGUGGCUGCCGCAGUCCAGGACGUCUCGUAUGGCGCUUUUAGGACUCCCAACUUCCUCUGCGACGCCUCGGAGACCGACGCUGUCUUUUCUGCGUUGGUCCCGUUCUGCAAAGCAACGCUCUGCAGCUUGUAAGCAUUCUGCGUAGCAUGCAUGCAUAAUUCCAAGUUCCAAUAAAUACUGCUUUCAUUCUUGUU
Long non-coding RNA from Dermacentor andersoni, 497 nucleotides. RefSeq lists it as uncharacterized. NCBI's taxonomy places the organism in Eukaryota, Metazoa, Arthropoda, Arachnida, Ixodida, Ixodidae. The record is from RefSeq and is a predicted model, not a curated record.